Molecule: transfer RNA, 72 nt
Filed under: Microvirga subterranea
Lineage: Bacteria; Pseudomonadati; Pseudomonadota; Alphaproteobacteria; Hyphomicrobiales; Methylobacteriaceae
Rfam family: tRNA
About the family: Transfer RNA (tRNA) molecules are approximately 80 nucleotides in length. Their secondary structure includes four short double-helical elements and three loops (D, anti-codon, and T loops). Further hydrogen bonds mediate the characteristic L-shaped molecular structure. tRNAs have two regions of fundamental functional importance: the anti-codon, which is responsible for specific mRNA codon recognition, and the 3' end, to which the tRNAs corresponding amino acid is attached (by aminoacyl-tRNA synthetases). tRNAs cope with the degeneracy of the genetic code in two manners: having more than one tRNA (with a specific anti-codon) for a particular amino acid; and 'wobble' base-pairing, i.e. permitting non-standard base-pairing at the 3rd anti-codon position.
Source: Rfam by way of RNAcentral
AGGGGGGUAGCUCAAGGCCAGAGCACCGGUAUCCAACGCCGGAUGGUGCAAGUUCAAGUCUUGCCUCCCCUG